Ochotona princeps (American pika) is the source of this 141-nucleotide small nucleolar RNA. Its record names the gene SNORA74. It matches the Rfam family "Small nucleolar RNA SNORA74". Rfam says of the family: U19 belongs to the H/ACA class of snoRNAs. snoRNAs bind a number of proteins (including dyskerin, Gar1p and Nop10p in the case of the H/ACA class) to form snoRNP complexes. This class are thought to guide the sites of modification of uridines to pseudouridines by forming direct base pairing interactions with substrate RNAs. Targets may include ribosomal and spliceosomal RNAs but the exact functions of many snoRNAs, including U19, are not confirmed. NCBI's taxonomy places the organism in Eukaryota, Metazoa, Chordata, Mammalia, Lagomorpha, Ochotonidae. The record is from Ensembl.
CCCAGGUGUAGGCAACCAUCUAGGUUGCCUUGCAUCUAAGCAAGUGUUACACUCCUGGGAGAAAAGCAGCUAAACCUGGCAGGCAUCCUGGACCUGGUUAGUACCAAAGUUGUGUUAACUAGACCCGUGUGCCAGCACAGU